This 101-nucleotide microRNA precursor is filed under the name Marmota monax (woodchuck). Lineage: Eukaryota; Metazoa; Chordata; Mammalia; Rodentia; Sciuridae. The record is from RNAcentral.
AGUGGGAUUACUGGUCAAAUGGUGGUUCCACUCCUAGUUUUUUGAGGAAUAUCCAUAGUGCUUUCCAGAGUGGUUGUACCAUUUGCAGUCCUACCAACAAU